RNAcentral lists this RNase P RNA (435 nucleotides) under Pirellulaceae bacterium. RNAcentral's name for it is "RNase P RNA component class A". It matches the Rfam family "Bacterial RNase P class A". Rfam says of the family: Ribonuclease P (RNase P) is a ubiquitous endoribonuclease, found in archaea, bacteria and eukarya as well as chloroplasts and mitochondria. Its best characterised activity is the generation of mature 5'-ends of tRNAs by cleaving the 5'-leader elements of precursor-tRNAs. Cellular RNase Ps are ribonucleoproteins. Lineage: Bacteria; Pseudomonadati; Planctomycetota; Planctomycetia; Pirellulales; Pirellulaceae. The record is from RNAcentral.
AGAGAGGGCGAGACGAUCGCUUCAUGCCAUCGGUGUGGAGAGGAAAGUCCGGGCUCCGCAGGACAGGAUGGUCGAUAACGUCGACCGACCGCGAGGUUAGGGCAAGUGCCACAGAAAACAGACCGCCGAACGGUCCGUUUCAGCAUCGUCGCUCCGGCGAUGAUCUGAUGCGGAUGCGUGGUAAGGGUGAAACGGUGCGGUAAGAGCGCACCAGCGAUCGAGGUGACUCGUUCGGCUUGGUAAACCCCAUCUGGAGCUAGACCAAACAGGGUGCAGUCAUUUGACUUGUCAAAUGCGCGAAGCGGUCCGUUUCGUAAUGACAUCCGGGUAGGUCGCGAUGGAGGCGACGAGCAAUCGUCGUGCAAAGAUAAAUGAUCGUCGGCGAACGCCUUCGGGUGUUCGCAACAGAACCCGGCUUACAUGCCCUCUCUCAGU